Molecule: long non-coding RNA, 1411 nt
Filed under: Equus caballus (horse)
Lineage: Eukaryota; Metazoa; Chordata; Mammalia; Perissodactyla; Equidae
Description: lncRNA (ENSECAG00000044031.1)
Source: RNAcentral
CUUCUCUCCAGAUGUUUUCAGGAUUUGAUGAAAGAUUUUUCUAGAACAAUGUUUCUCAAAGAGCGAUUCCUAGACCCACAGCAUGAGCAUCACCGGGGAACUUAUUAGAAAUGCAAAUUAUCAGGCCUGCCCCAGACCUACUUAAUCAGAAAACCACGGGCAGGGGUGGAGAGGAGAGCAAUGGGUGUUUUAAUAAGCUUUCUAGGUGACUCAGAUACAAACUAAAGUCUGAAGAAGCUGCUCAGAAGAGUGUCCUUGGAUCAGCAGCAUCAGCGCCACCUGGGAGCUUGCCACUUUCUCCUGGGACCCAGCCAAUACACCGUGAGAAGCCCUGGGAGAUGCCAUGAGGAGGAGAACUAAGGCACUCUGGUCCCGCCCCAGCUCAGCUCUCCGCUAACAGCCAACUGGCAGCCCUGUGAGUGAGCCAUGGAAGAUGCUCCAGCCCAGGUGAGCCCACAUGGAGCAGAGAACAUCCCAGCUGAACCCAGUCAAGCCACAGACUUGUGUAGGUAAUAAAUGGUUAUUGUUUUAAGUCACGACAUUUGGGGUGGUUUGCUAUACAUACAGCAAUAGAAAAAGGAAAGAGUAAGCCAAUGAGUGAGCCAGUCAUGUGCCUUGUGAAGGCAUCUCUUUGUCCAAAGUCACUACUAAAUUAUAAAGUUAGGAGCAUUACAACUUUCAUGAAUUUUCCCUGAAAUUCUCAGAAGUAGAUAGUUGUAGCUACUUGCAAGAUGAAUAAGCCCAUGAAUUGAGGACUGCGCCAAGGAAAACUGAAUUUCUGAUACAGCACAAUUCACAUGAUUUGACAAGGGACAUUCACAGACUGGGUGAGCGCAGCCAGCCAAGAGUUGUAUUCCUUUGGCCGGAGACAUCUACAAUAUAUCUAAGAAGUUCCUCGAGAAUAUAAAUUGUUCACUUGAAAAUAUCUUACAAUGUCAGCACUUCUGGCCAGGAAAAAGUUUAUAUUCUAGAAAAAUAAAUUCAGGAAGCACACUAUUUUGUAACUCUGGAUUUACUGAUAGUUAAAUUUGAGUCAAUCAAUUUGUGUGGAGCCCCAAGUAUAUGCAAAGCUUAGACCAGGUAGCGAAAGUUAUACCAAGUAAACUAGUGUUGGCUGUCAGAACCUUUAAACCCUAGGAGCAUAGGAGACCUAGUGAAAUACAGUGGAAAGAACAUAAGCUGCGUUAGGAGACCUAGUGGCUAGUCCUGGCUUUGUCACUGGUCCAAUCAGCCUCUGCCAGGAGCAUGGAAGAGAUGCUGAAAUUAUCUUUAAUUUAAGAAAACAGGGGGGGAGUGGUCAUCACUGGAUACAAAUGCUCUACAGUUGGAAGCAGAAUAUCCGCAGGAGCCAUGCAAGGCUGAUUCCUGUCUGUCCUGUGGGCCACAUUCCCCUUCAAGGACCUUGUUCUCA